Molecule: long non-coding RNA, 264 nt
Filed under: Homo sapiens (human)
Lineage: Eukaryota; Metazoa; Chordata; Mammalia; Primates; Hominidae
Description: non-protein coding lnc-PNMA5-5:1
Source: RNAcentral
CCCAAGAGAAAGGCUGAAGGGGAUGCUAAAGGAGAUAAAUCCAACAUGAAGGACAAACCACAGAAAAGAUCCAAGAGGUUGUCUGCUAAACCUGCUUCUCCAAAGCCAGAGUCUAAGCCUAAAGAGGCCCCUGCAAAAAAGUGAGUGAAGGUACCCAUAGGGAAAAGGGUAAAUGCUAAUGCUGGCAGGGAGGGGAAUAACCCUGCAGAAAAUGGAGAUGACAAAACAGACCAGGCACAGAAAGCUGAAGGUCCUGGAGAUGCC